RNAcentral lists this transfer RNA (80 nucleotides) under Caldisericum exile AZM16c01. Its description in RNAcentral is "tRNA-Pro". It matches the Rfam family "tRNA". Rfam says of the family: Transfer RNA (tRNA) molecules are approximately 80 nucleotides in length. The record is from RNAcentral. Lineage: Bacteria; Pseudomonadati; Caldisericota; Caldisericia; Caldisericales; Caldisericaceae.
UCGGGGCGUGGCUCAGCUUGGGUAGAGCGUUUGGUUUGGGACCAAAAGGUCGAAGGUUCAAAUCCUUCCGCCCCGACCAU